This 305-nucleotide ribosomal RNA is filed under the name uncultured bacterium. RNAcentral describes it as "bacterial SSU rRNA". It matches the Rfam family "Bacterial small subunit ribosomal RNA", at positions 333 to 655 of the family's 1533-position model. The record is from RNAcentral.
UGGUACCUACGGGGCGCAGCAGUGGGGAAUAUUGCACAAUGGGGGAAACCCUGAUGCAGCGACGCCGCGUGAGCGAUGAAGUAUUUCGGUAUGUAAAGCUCUAUCAGCAGGGAAGAAGAUGACGGUACCUGACUAAGAAGCCCCGGCUAACUACGUGCCAGCAGCCGCGGUAAUACGUAGGGGGCAAGCGUUAUCCGGAUUUACUGGGUGUAAAGGGAGCGUAGACGGCGGCGCAAGCCAGAUGUGAAAGCCCGGGGCUCAACUCCGGGACGGCAUUUGGAACUGUGUGGCUGGAGUGUCGGAGA